AGUCGAACGGUGGCAGCAAUGUCAUAGUGGCGCACGGGUGCGUAACACGUAACUAACCUACCUACAACUGGGGGAUAGCCCGCCGAAAGGCGGAUUAAUACCGCAUAAGCCAGGGACCCGGCAUCGGGAUUUUGGUAAAGAUUUAUUGGUUAUAGAUGGGGUUGCGGGUCAUUAGCUAGUUGGUUGGGUAACGGCUGACCAAGGCGACGAUGACUAGGGGAGCUGAGAGGCUGGUCCCCCACACGGGCACUGAGAUACGGGCCCGACUCCUACGGGAGGCAGCAGUAGGGAAUAUUGGGCAAUGGGCGAGAGCCUGACCCAGCCAUGCCGCGUGCAGGAAGAAGGCUUUCUGAGUCGUAAACUGCUUUUGACAGGGAAGAAUAAGGACUACGUGUAGUCUGAUGACGGUACCUGCAGAAUAAGCACCGGCUAACUCCGUGCCAGCAGCCGCGGUAAUACGGAGGGUGCGAGCGUUGUCCGGAUUUAUUGGGUUUAAAGGGUGCGUAGGCGGCCCGUUAAGUCCGGGGUGAAAGCCCGUUGCUCAACAACGGAACUGCCCUGGAUACUGACGGGCUUGAGUACAGACGAGGUUGGCGGAAUGGACCGAGUAGCGGUGAAAUGCAUAGAUACGGUCCAGAACCCCGAUUGCGAAGGCAGCCGACUAGGCUGUUACUGACGCUGAGGCACGACAGCGUGGGGAGCGAACAGGAUUAGAUACCCUGGUAGUCCACGCCGUAAACGAUGGAUACUCGCUGCGAGCUAAAGAUUGUUCGUGGCUUAGGGAAACCGAUAAGUAUCCCACCUGGGGAGUACGCUCGCAAGAGUGAAACUCAAAGGAAUUGAC
This 844-nucleotide ribosomal RNA is filed under the name uncultured bacterium. RNAcentral describes it as "bacterial SSU rRNA". It matches the Rfam family "Bacterial small subunit ribosomal RNA", at positions 60 to 914 of the family's 1533-position model. The record is from RNAcentral.